This 756-nucleotide ribosomal RNA is filed under the name uncultured bacterium. RNAcentral's name for it is "bacterial SSU rRNA". It matches the Rfam family "Bacterial small subunit ribosomal RNA", at positions 8 to 796 of the family's 1533-position model. The record is from RNAcentral.
AGAGUUUGAUCAUGGCUCAGAAUCAACGCUGGCGGCGUGCCUAACACAUGCAAGUCGCACGAGAAAGGGUAGCAAUACCUGAGUACAGUGGCGCACGGGUGAGUAACACGUGAAUAAUCUACCUCCGAGUGGGGAAUAACUUAGGGAAACCUGAGCUAAUACCGCAUAACACUUACGAGUCAAAGCAGCAAUGCGCUUGGAGAGGAGUUCGCGGCAGAUUAGUUAGUUGGCGGGGUAAUGGCCCACCAAGACGAUGAUCUGUAUCCGGCCUGAGAGGGCGCACGGACACACUGGAACUGAAACACGGUCCAGACUCCUACGGGAGGCAGCAGUGGGGAAUUUUGCGCAAUGGGGGAAACCCUGACGCAGCAACGCCGCGUGGAGGAUGAAAUCCCAUGGGAUGUAAACUCCUUUCGAUCGGGACGAUUAUGACGGUACCGGAAGAAGAAGCCCCGGCUAACUUCGUGCCAGCAGCCGCGGUAAUACGAGGGGGGCGAGCGUUGUUCGGAAUUAUUGGGCGUAAAGGGUGCGUAGGCGGUUUGAUAAGUCUGAUGUGAAAUCUAUGGGCUCAACCCAUAGUCUGCAUUAGAAACUGUCGGGCUUGAGUAUGGGAGAGGUGAGUGGAAUUUCCGGUGUAGCGGUGAAAUGCGUAGAUAUCGGAAGGAACACCUGUGGCGAAAGCGGCUCACUGGACCAUUACUGACGCUGAUGCACGAAAGCUAGGGGAGCAAACAGGAUUAGAUACCCUAGUAGUCC